GAUGAACGCUGGCGGCGUGCCUAAUACAUGCAAGUCGAGCGAACGGACGAGAAGCUUGCUUCUCUGAUGUUAGCGGCGGACGGGUGAGUAACACGUGGAUAACCUACCUAUAAGACUGGGAUAACUUCGGGAAACCGGAGCUAAUACCGGAUAAUAUUUUGAACCGCAUUGUUCAAAAGUGAAAGACGGUCUUGCUGUCACUUAUAGAUGGAUCCGCGCUGCAUUAGCUAGUUGGUAAGGUAACGGCUUACUAAGGCGACGAUGCAUAGCCGACCUGAGAGGGGGAUCGGCCACACUGGAACUGAGACACGGUCCAGACUACUACGGGAGGCAGCAGUAGGGAAUCUUCCGCAAUGGGCGAAAGCCUGACGGAGCAACGCCGCGUGAGUGAUGAAGGUCUUCGGAUCGUAAAACUCUGUUAUUAGGGAAGAACAUAUUUGUAAGUAACUGUGCACAUCUUGACGGUAACUAAUCAGAAAGCAACGGCUAACUACGUG
Molecule: ribosomal RNA, 497 nt
Filed under: uncultured bacterium
Lineage: Bacteria
Description: partial 16S ribosomal RNA
Rfam family: Bacterial small subunit ribosomal RNA
Source: RNAcentral